CCUACGGGAGGCAGCAGUGAGGAAUAUUGGUCAAUGGCCGGAAGGCUGAACCAGCCAAGCCGCGUGAAGGACGAAGGUGCCAAGCAUUGUAAACUUCUUUUGUCAAGGGACAAAAUCAGGCUCGAGAGCCUGACCGAGGGUACUUGAAGAAAAAGCAUCGGCUAACUCCGUGCCAGCAGCCGCGGUAAUACGGAGGAUGCGAGCGUUAUCCGGAUUUAUUGGGUUUAAAGGGUGCGUAGGCGGGCUGUUAAGUCAGCGGUAAAAGCCCGGGGCUCAACCCCGGCGAGCCGUUGAAACUGGCUGUCGUGAGAUGUCGUGAGGUAUGCGGAAUGCGCAGUGUAGCGGUGAAAUGCUUAGAGAUCACGAAGAACCCCGAUUGCGAAGGCAGCCUGCCGCAGCGUUACUGACGCUGAAGCUCGAAAGCGCGGGUAUCGAACAGGAUUAGAUACCCCAGUAGUC
RNAcentral lists this ribosomal RNA (459 nucleotides) under uncultured bacterium. RNAcentral describes it as "partial 16S ribosomal RNA". It matches the Rfam family "Bacterial small subunit ribosomal RNA", at positions 338 to 795 of the family's 1533-position model. The record is from RNAcentral.